RNAcentral lists this ribosomal RNA (491 nucleotides) under uncultured bacterium. RNAcentral describes it as "partial 16S ribosomal RNA". It matches the Rfam family "Bacterial small subunit ribosomal RNA", at positions 29 to 507 of the family's 1533-position model. The record is from RNAcentral.
AGUGAACGCUGGCGGUAGGCCUAACACAUGCAAGUCGAACGGCAGCACAGUAAGAGCUUGCUCUUACGGGUGGCGAGUGGCGGACGGGUGAGGAAUACAUCGGAAUCUAUUUUUUCGUGGGGGUUAACGUAGGGAAACUUACGCUAAUACCGCAUACGACCUACGGGUGAAAGCAGGGGAUCUUCGGACCUUGCGCGUUUGAAUGAGCCGAUGUCGGAUUAGCUAGUUGGCGGGGUAAAGGCCCACCAAGGCGACGAUCCGUAGCUGGUCUGAGAGGAUGAUCGGCAACACUGGACCUGAGACACGGUCCAGCCUCCUACGGGGGCAGCAGUGGGGAAUAUUGGACAAAGGGCGCAAGCCUGAUCCAGCCAUACCGCGUGGGUGAAGAAGGCCUUCGGGUUGUAAAGCCCUUUUGUUGGGAAAGAAAAGCAGCAGGUUAAUACCCCGCUGUUCUGACGGUACCCAAAGAAUAAGCACCGGCUAACUUCGUG